This is a long non-coding RNA of Sinocyclocheilus anshuiensis, 1371 nucleotides long. NCBI's taxonomy places the organism in Eukaryota, Metazoa, Chordata, Actinopteri, Cypriniformes, Cyprinidae. The record is from Ensembl.
CUCAGUGUAUCUCUAAAGUGUAUCUUUAACAAAACUAGAUAUUAUGCAAGCUAAAGCACUAAGAUUGGUUCUAGGAGCAGUUAAGACGACACCAAUUGCAGCAAUACAGGUGGAGUCCUCAGAAAUGCCUCUACAUUUAAGAAGAGAAAAACUAGCCAUGGCAUAUUGGAUUAAUCUUCAGGGCCAAAGAGAGGAUCAUCCUGUAAGAGAAGUACUUAAUGAAAGUUGGGAAACAGUAAAUAAACCAGGUAAAGGAUUUGCAUGGAAAAUUAAGAAAUUGAUCAAUGAAACUGGAAUAGAAUCAAAUAAAUUUGCAUCGGUAAUAGUAACUCCUCCAAUAGCACCUUGGUUAUUAGAACAACCGGAAGUUGACUUAAAUGUACAUAAAUAAAUUAAGGGAAUGGGGGAGGGGUUUAAUUUAAAAGCAUAUGUCAAAGAAUAUAUAAAAAGUAUGCAUUAUUCAUUUCUCCAAAUUUACACAGAUGGAUCAAAGAACAUAGAAACUGGAAGGACAGGUGCUGCAUUUUGCAUUCCAGAAUUUCAGGUUAGGAAGGCUGGAAGAAUUACGGAUGGUACUUCUGUAUAUACAGCAGAGAUGGUAGCUAUCCUUAUGGCAUUAGAGUGGGUAUAUGAAGUAAGACCGGAUAAAGUAAUAAUAUGCUCUGACUCAAUGGCAGCUCUUAUGAGUUUACAAUCAUGGCAAUCAAAUAGAAAAGACAUUUUAAUAGAAAUCAUGAUUACACUAUAUAGUAUUAAACAGAUAGGGAUAAUUACUCGGUUUAUAUGGGUACCUGCACAUGUGGGAAUUCAAGGUAAUGAAGAGGUAGAUAAAAUGGCUAAAGAAUCCUUAAAUAUGGAUGAUCCAAGUAUAAAUAUUGCACUCAGCAGAAUAGAAGGGAAACAGUUAAUAUUAAAUGCAUGCAAUAUUGUAUGGCAGAUAUACUGGGACUCAUGUCAAACAGGUAGGCAUUAUCACAAAGUACAAAGGAGUAUAAAGAGAAGAAAAAUCAUUCAUAACAUAAGUAGAAGGGAACAAGUCAUUUUAACACAUAUACGAACAGGACAUUCAAAUCUUAACCAAACACUAUACAUUAUAGGGAAACAUAAUACUGGUCUAUGUAAUGUUUGUUUAACAGAGGAAUCAGUGGAACACGUUAUGAUGGUAUGUACAGCAUAUGAAAGAGAAAGGGAUCGACUUAAAGAUGAAUUACAAUCCUUAGGAGUUAAAGAAUUUUCAUUAAGUAGUAUUCUGAAUGAUGGUCCAAAUGCAGGAAAACAAAUAAGUGCAAUCAUGAGAUUUCUUAAGAAUUGUGGAAUAAUUAACAGAAUUUAAGAUUUAGGUGAGAAAAGGUACAUUCUCUUCACACUCCA